This 1360-nucleotide long non-coding RNA is filed under the name Sarcophilus harrisii (Tasmanian devil). RNAcentral describes it as "lncRNA (ENSSHAG00000021475.1)". The record is from RNAcentral. Lineage: Eukaryota; Metazoa; Chordata; Mammalia; Dasyuromorphia; Dasyuridae.
ACAAGCAGUGCCUCAAGCAUCAGUUUCAUCAUUUCUGCCGUGUUUGGGGUGGCAAGCUCAGACACUGAAUUUUACUAGCUUCUUUUGAUGAAUAUUAACUCCCAAUAUCAGAAACUAGGCCCCGUCUGAGCACGUGCCCCUGAGAUUUUGACCUGAGCAGAAUAAGCCCAAUGAAGAACAUCUUCAACUUGUCCAGCCCCAAGGUGCAGAAGGCAGCUGCCCAGCCCAGGAUGGGAGGUGCCGCCCAUUCCCACAGGAGGAAAAACACAAGGAAUCUCCAUCCGGCUUAUCUGUGAGAAAGCGCAGAAGUGGCGUGUCUGUCAGCAAAGGCAGCAGAGAGAGACCCAGGACUCCCGAGAGUGUCCAUGGCCCCACUGCCCCUCACCACGAGUCACGCCUUCUCUCAGCCUUUCCCUCCCUCAUGAUCUAUAGCUGUAAACAUUCCCUUCCCAUUUCCUUCUCUGAGAGGUCCCAAGCCAUCUGUCCUACCCCUUCCUUGCCUGUUAAAAGUAAACUCAAUCCAAAACAGCAAAAACCAGAGGGAAAGGCCUUGAACAUUUCCAACCUUACAUUUCUUGUAUAUAUCCUGUAAAUAAAAGGCUAUUAAAAAAAAAAAAAGAAAUGUUUAAAAAAAAAAAGAGGGGGCCACACCCCAUGGCCUAAAACCAUGAGUGCGUGUACACACACUCACAGAGCUCAUUCCCACAGACCUUUUUCCCUAAAAAGAGGAGCUCCAGACCAUUCCCAAGUACUCUGCCCCAUUCUCCCAAUAAAACUUUGCGACACUCCCAGACACAAUUAGAGUUUGUGAUGUUUUUGAGUAAAACAAAAAACAAAACAAAAAAAUUUAACAUUAAAAAUAAUUUUUUUAGAAUCCGAUGAAAUGGACUGAAGUAGUGUCUUAUUUUUAAAGCUGCUUUCCUCAAGGAAAAAUCACUUAAAAGGUGCUUGGGGCUCAUUUGGAAUUUCUCUCCCUUGACUAAGGAGACAGUUUCAGGGAGAAGGCACUCUGAAAGCAUGGGGUUAGCCCAAGAACUCUGGGGGCCAAAGUGUUGGGACUUAAGGAUUCUAUCAGGAAUUCAAUAGGCUGCCAGUAGGGAAGUCACACUCUGGGAGGUGCAUCUGGGGCUGGAUAACCCAACACUGCUGCAAGCUGAGGUCUCCAGAGUCCAUCUGGCUCACAUGGCACUGAUUACUGAAAAGACCAAGCCUGUACAAGAUGGACACCCACCAGCGUGGCUGUAACCACUCUCUCCUAGAAAGAGCUCAGACUCACCCGUUCCAAUUCCCUUGUAGAAUAUGAAAUGCCACUUUAACCUUCACUGCUGGGAUGAUAUUAGCAAAUCAGGAGUUUACAGAA